GACGAACGCUGGCGGCAUGCCUAAUACAUGCAAGUCGAGCGAACAGAUGAAGUGCUUGCACUUCUGACGUUAGCGGCGAACGGGUGAGUAACACGUAAGGAAUCUACCUAUAAGCGGGGGAUAACAUUCGGAAACGGGUGCUAAUACCGCAUAAUAUCUUCUUCCGCAUGGAAGAAGAUUGAAAGACGGCUCUGCUGUCACUUAUAGAUGACCUUGCGGUGCAUUAGUUAGUUGGUGGGGUAAUGGCCUACCAAGACGAUGAUACAUGGCCGACCUGAGAGGGUGAUCGGCCACAUUGGGACUGAGACACGGCCCAAACUCCUACGGGAGGCAGCAGUAGGGAAUCUUCCGCAAUGGGCGAAAGCCUGACGGAGCAAUGCCGCGUGAGUGAAGAAGGCCUUCGGGUCGUAAAACUCUGUUAUAAGAGAAGAACAAAUUGUAGAGUAACUGCUACAGUCUUGACGGUAUCUUAUCAGAAAGCCACGGCUAACUACGUGCCAGCAGCCGCCGUAA
This 513-nucleotide ribosomal RNA is filed under the name uncultured bacterium. RNAcentral's name for it is "partial 16S ribosomal RNA". It matches the Rfam family "Bacterial small subunit ribosomal RNA", at positions 28 to 523 of the family's 1533-position model. The record is from RNAcentral.